Molecule: non-coding RNA, 21 nt
Filed under: Caenorhabditis elegans
Lineage: Eukaryota; Metazoa; Nematoda; Chromadorea; Rhabditida; Rhabditidae
Source: RNAcentral
UUAAUUGGUUGUUGGCGUGUU